Molecule: ribosomal RNA, 607 nt
Filed under: Shewanella sp. WHD5
Lineage: Bacteria; Pseudomonadati; Pseudomonadota; Gammaproteobacteria; Alteromonadales; Shewanellaceae
Description: bacterial SSU rRNA
Rfam family: Bacterial small subunit ribosomal RNA
Source: RNAcentral
GAAGAUAGUUUGCUAUCUUUGCCGGCGAGCGGCGGACGGGUGAGUAAUGCCUAGGGAUCUGCCCAGUCGAGGGGGAUAACAGUUGGAAACGACUGCUAAUACCGCAUACGCCCUACGGGGGAAAGGAGGGGACCUUCGGGCCUUCCGCGAUUGGAUGAACCUAGGUGGGAUUAGCUAGUUGGUGAGGUAAUGGCUCACCAAGGCGACGAUCCCUAGCUGUUCUGAGAGGAUGAUCAGCCACACUGGGACUGAGACACGGCCCAGACUCCUACGGGAGGCAGCAGUGGGGAAUAUUGCACAAUGGGGGAAACCCUGAUGCAGCCAUGCCGCGUGUGUGAAGAAGGCCUUCGGGUUGUAAAGCACUUUCAGUAGGGAGGAAAGGUAAUAGUUUAAUACGCUGUUGCUGUGACGUUACCUACAGAAGAAGGACCGGCUAACUCCGUGCCAGCAGCCGCGGUAAUACGGAGGGUCCGAGCGUUAAUCGGAAUUACUGGGCGUAAAGCGUGCGCAGGCGGUUUGUUAAGCGAGAUGUGAAAGCCCCGGGCUCAACCUGGGAAUUGCAUUUCGAACUGGCGAACUAGAGUCUUGUAGAGGGGGGUAGAAUUCC